AUUUUGUCAUUUCAUUCUUCUUUUUAAUAUGCGUGAAAAGUUUAUCCUCAGACGGAAGAGGGAGUAUAAUAUUUCAAAAAGUUUGUCGUUUAUAACUUUCGAGGAGAAUAAAUUAUUUACUUUUCUAUAUUACUCCUACCUUCUCUCAUUGUCCCAAGAAAUUCUUUCCCUUAUAUUAAUAGUUUUCAAUUUUUCAUAAAG
Molecule: long non-coding RNA, 201 nt
Filed under: Panax ginseng (ginseng)
Lineage: Eukaryota; Viridiplantae; Streptophyta; Magnoliopsida; Apiales; Araliaceae
Description: long non-coding RNA (PGIN_LNC017854)
Source: RNAcentral